RNAcentral lists this non-coding RNA (27 nucleotides) under Mus musculus (house mouse). The record is from RNAcentral. Lineage: Eukaryota; Metazoa; Chordata; Mammalia; Rodentia; Muridae.
AUGUGUGUGCCUUCUGUGAGUAUAUGC